This 269-nucleotide long non-coding RNA is filed under the name Manihot esculenta (cassava). RNAcentral describes it as "long non-coding RNA (MESC_LNC012406)". The record is from RNAcentral. Lineage: Eukaryota; Viridiplantae; Streptophyta; Magnoliopsida; Malpighiales; Euphorbiaceae.
GUGAGUAGAACAGUAAUAAAGAACAGGUGAUAAAACAUGCUUUCAUGCAAUGUAUCACAUCACAAGUAAUCACAUCUCAGCAUGGACGGAUCAACACUCCCUCUAUACCAUAUGCCUGGUCCCCGUAGGGCUGUUCCAGGUCUUUAUGCCUGGUCCCCGUAGGGCUGUUCCAGGUCUUUCUUCUGAGGGCUAUUGAAUCCUUACUAUGUCCAUACAGUCAUAGAAUCAAGGAUAAAUGCAAUGCAUCAUAUUCGUGUACACUAAUGCAC